GGAACGGGGGAUCCGCGCUGCAGGCGCCGCCGCACGACCCGAGCCCCGGAGCUGGCCGGGUCACGCUAGCGCUCGUGCUCGCCGUCUCGGCGUUCGCCGUUGCUGAGCAACGUCCGUGACGUCACAGGACGGAACGGUCUCGCAGCUCCAGCCCAGUGAGGUUCAGCAACCAGGCAGAGUUGGCCAGGGUAAGACUUGGAGCCCACAUCUGACUCCACUUCCCUCAGGGGUCAGAGACUGAGACCGACAAGGACUUCACUGCCCCCUAUCCACAGCCCUAAGAGUCCAUAUUUUAAGACAGAAAAACUGGACCAGCAAGAUGGCUCACAUAAUGAAAGGCUCUUGCAGCCAUGCCCAUGUUGUCCCCGGGACCCACACUGUGGAAGGACUCUUGCAAGCCGGUCCACACACAUAAAUAAAUACAUUUGAAAAAAAUUUAAAAAAAAAAAGACAAAAACCGGUUUGGAGAGAUGACUCAGCGGUUAAGAGCACUAACUGCCCUCUACCACUGGUUCUAAGUUCAAGUCCCAGCAACCACGUGGUGGCUCACAACCAUCUGUAAAGGGAUCCAAUGCCUCCUCCUGCUGUGUCAGACACACCAGCUACAGUGUACUCAUAAAAUAAAUAAAUAAAUAAAUAAAUAAAUAAAUAAAUAAA
Long non-coding RNA from Rattus norvegicus (Norway rat), 657 nucleotides. RefSeq lists it as uncharacterized. NCBI's taxonomy places the organism in Eukaryota, Metazoa, Chordata, Mammalia, Rodentia, Muridae. The record is from RefSeq and is a predicted model, not a curated record.